Pangasianodon gigas (Mekong giant catfish) is the source of this 73-nucleotide non-coding RNA. NCBI's taxonomy places the organism in Eukaryota, Metazoa, Chordata, Actinopteri, Siluriformes, Pangasiidae. The record is from the annotation of a GenBank genome assembly.
GUCAGUCAAUUAGUCAGUCAGUCAGACAGUCACUUAGUCUGUUGGUCGGUCAGUCAGUCAGUCAGUCACUUAG